GACGAACCGUGCGAACGUUGUUCGGAAUCACUGGGCUUAAAGGGCGCGUAGGCGGGCUGGCGAGUCCGGGGUGAAAUUCACCGGCUUAACCGGUGGGCUGCCCCGGAUACUGCCGGCCUGGAGGGGGGUAGGGGCACGCGGAACUAUGGGUGGAGCGGUGAAAUGCGUUGAUAUCCAUAGGAACUCCGGUGGCGAAGGCGGCGUGCUGGACCCCAUCUGACGCUGAGGCGCGAAAGCCAGGGGAGCGAACGGG
RNAcentral lists this ribosomal RNA (253 nucleotides) under uncultured bacterium. RNAcentral describes it as "partial 16S ribosomal RNA". It matches the Rfam family "Bacterial small subunit ribosomal RNA", at positions 524 to 776 of the family's 1533-position model. The record is from RNAcentral.